Molecule: transfer RNA, 90 nt
Filed under: subsurface metagenome
Description: tRNA-Ser
Rfam family: tRNA
About the family: Transfer RNA (tRNA) molecules are approximately 80 nucleotides in length. Their secondary structure includes four short double-helical elements and three loops (D, anti-codon, and T loops).
Source: RNAcentral
GGAGAGGUGGCCGAGUGGUCGAAGGCGACCGCUUGCUAAGCGGUUGUACGGAUAAAACCGUACCGUGGGUUCAAAUCCCACCCUCUCCGC